GGCGUAGCUCAAUUGGCAGAGCAGCUGAUUUGUAAUCAGCAGGUUGCAGGUUCGAUUCCUGUCGCC
RNAcentral lists this transfer RNA (66 nucleotides) under Gemmiger qucibialis. It matches the Rfam family "tRNA". From Rfam's summary of the family: Transfer RNA (tRNA) molecules are approximately 80 nucleotides in length. Their secondary structure includes four short double-helical elements and three loops (D, anti-codon, and T loops). Further hydrogen bonds mediate the characteristic L-shaped molecular structure. tRNAs have two regions of fundamental functional importance: the anti-codon, which is responsible for specific mRNA codon recognition, and the 3' end, to which the tRNAs corresponding amino acid is attached (by aminoacyl-tRNA synthetases). tRNAs cope with the degeneracy of the genetic code in two manners: having more than one tRNA (with a specific anti-codon) for a particular amino acid; and 'wobble' base-pairing, i.e. permitting non-standard base-pairing at the 3rd anti-codon position. RNAcentral also lists the same sequence under 1 other name. Lineage: Bacteria; Bacillati; Bacillota; Clostridia; Eubacteriales; Oscillospiraceae. The record is from RNAcentral.